AGAAUCAACGCUGGCGGCGUGCCUAACACAUGCAAGUCGAACGAGAAAGUGGAGCAAUCCAUGAGUAAAGUGGCGCACGGGUGAGUAACACGUGACUAACCUACCCUUGAGUGGGGGAUAACCUAAGAGAAAUCUGGGCUAAUACCGCAUAAUACCUUCGGGGUCAAAGGGAGCAAUUCGCUUAAGGAGGGGGUCGCGGCCGAUUAGUUAGUUGGCGGGGUAAUGGCCCACCAAGGCGAUGAUCGGUA
Molecule: ribosomal RNA, 248 nt
Filed under: uncultured bacterium
Lineage: Bacteria
Description: partial small subunit ribosomal RNA
Rfam family: Bacterial small subunit ribosomal RNA
Source: RNAcentral